RNAcentral lists this long non-coding RNA (236 nucleotides) under Gossypium barbadense (sea-island cotton). RNAcentral's name for it is "long non-coding RNA (GBAR_LNC000585)". Lineage: Eukaryota; Viridiplantae; Streptophyta; Magnoliopsida; Malvales; Malvaceae. The record is from RNAcentral.
UAAAAGUGAUAAAAUAUCGUUUUCCACCUCUUGUUAAAGUUUCAUUUAAUUCACAAUAUCUGAAUGGAUUAAAUCUAACACUUACGAAUUCCUUUAACACUUAUUAGGAAAUGGCUUCUUGGUAAACUUUUAUUGAUUACAAAUUUCACAUUUUUCCAUAAACUCAUCAUUACUAAGAUUGAUAUAACCAUUCUUUUGCAAAUAUUGUAAAGUUUUAAAAUUAAAAUAUGCUAAAC